This 564-nucleotide ribosomal RNA is filed under the name uncultured organism. RNAcentral describes it as "bacterial SSU rRNA". It matches the Rfam family "Bacterial small subunit ribosomal RNA", at positions 858 to 1422 of the family's 1533-position model. The record is from RNAcentral.
CAGUAAGUAUUCCACCUGGGGAGUACGUCCGCAAGGAUGAAACCCAAAGGAAUGGACUGGGGCCCGCACAAUCGGAGGAACAUGUGGUUUAAUUCGAUGAUACGCGAGGAACCUUACCUGGGCUUAAAUGCAGUAUGACCGUUCUCGAAAGAGAUCUUCCCUUCGGGGCAAAUUGCAAGGUGCUGCAUGGUUGUCGUCAGCUCGUGCCGUGAGGUGUCGGGUUAAGUCCCAUAACGAGCGCAACCCCUACCGUUAGUUGCCAGCGAGUAAUGUCGGGGACUCUAGCGGAACUGCCGGUGUAAACCGCGAGGAAGGUGGGGAUGACGUCAAAUCAGCACGGCCCUUAUGUCCAGGGCUACACACGUGUUACAAUGGUCGGUACAGUGGGCAGCUACCCAGCGAUGGGAUGCUNAUCUCCAAAACCGAUCCCAGUUCGGAUUGAAGUCUGCAACUCGACUUCAUGAAGGUGGAUUCGCUAGCAAUCGCAUAUCAGCAACGAUGCGGUGAAUACGUUCCCGGGCAUUGUACACACCGCCCGUCAAGCCAUGGAAGCUUGGGGUACCU